Molecule: long non-coding RNA, 1071 nt
Filed under: Cottoperca gobio
Lineage: Eukaryota; Metazoa; Chordata; Actinopteri; Perciformes; Bovichtidae
Description: lncRNA (ENSCGOG00000024490.1)
Source: RNAcentral
UUUUAAAUUAGGCCUAUUUUUAUUUUUGAAAGGUUAAAAAUAUGGAAUAAUUUCUGGAAAAUAUUUAAACGGGAGGACAGCGGGAUAGAAGUAAAAAUACGGGAUAAUCCCGGGAAAACGUGAGUGUUGACAGGUAUGGUGGUCAUCCUGUAUGGAUCCAAGCAUUAAACUGCACAACAAAAACUGGAGAGUUGACAUUUCAGGGUUAAACAUUUCCGAGUUGAUUUCAACUCAAGAAGUGUUACUUUAACAUUUUCUGAUUGAAAUGUUUUUUAUGGUUGGAGUUAUUUCACUGUUCAUCAUGUCAGAGUUAGACCAACUCUGCAGAGACGUGAUUAAGCUCCGCCCCUGUAUUUCACCGCUUCGGUUGGAGACGAGUCCACGAUAAAUCAGCUCGAUUUUCUCUCCUCAUGCAGUUGACAGGGUAAGUACAAUUAUAUUAAACUCACUGAAAGAAUUAUAAAUGGUUGCUAUGAACUGCAUUAUUUACUGUGAAACAUCUACAGGGAAUGUAUGCCUUGCGAAGCCUUGUUUAGCCGUCUGUGGUAGCUACCAUAGCUAGCUAGCUAACAUUUGGUGGUAGCUAGUUAACCAACCUUUCCUUACUAAAACCAUCUCUUGAACAACAGCUAACAUGAAAAUUCAUUGCUGCAAUAAAAUACUCUUGGUCCUAAAUGGUGUUUUUUAUUCAUUUAGGGCGGCUUAACAUCAGCGAGACCCCAACAAAACGUGUCUCAACAGGCAUACAGUGGCUCACUUGUUGAACUUGUCUAGUUGUCCGUAAGACUGGGCCUUCACUGUAUUAAGUUAUUUUGUGUUUUACUGUUCUAUUUACAUUUCAAUUUAUUUUGUCAAACUUUCUUGCAUGUUUCAGUAAAAAUGUUGGUCCAGGUGAAGUACAGACAACAGCAGAAGUAUGUGAAAUUGGAUGCAGUUGAAGGACAGUUUGACUUUCUACAAUUCAAUGAAAAAGGUGGAUCAAGACUUCACCCUCUAUUUGAUCAUGAAACAUCCUCCAGGCUCCUUCAGAAAUGGGAUGUGUUCUUCAGUCCAAAUGUCAUAAGAGGCUAA